CCUACGGGCGGCAGCAGUGGGGAAUAUUGGACAAUGGGCGAAAGCCUGAUCCAGCCAUGCCGCGUGUGUGAAGAAGGCCUUCGGGUUGUAAAGCACUUUCAGUGGGGAAGAAAGCCUUGGGGCUAAUACCCUCGAGGAAGGACAUCACCCACAGAAGAAGCACCGGCUAACUCCGUGCCAGCAGCCGCGGUAAUACGGAGGGUGCGAGCGUUAAUCGGAAUUACUGGGCGUAAAGCGCGCGUAGGCGGUCUGAUAAGCCGGUUGUGAAAGCCCCGGGCUCAACCUGGGAACGGCAUCCGGAACUGUCAGGCUAGAGUGCAGGAGAGGAAGGUAGAAUUCCCGGUGUAGCGGUGAAAUGCGUAGAGAUCGGGAGGAAUACCAGUGGCGAAGGCGGCCUUCUGGACUGACACUGACGCUGAGGUGCGAAAGCGUGGGUAGCAAACAGGAUUAGAUCCGAGUAGUC
This 463-nucleotide ribosomal RNA is filed under the name Vreelandella stevensii. RNAcentral describes it as "partial 16S ribosomal RNA". It matches the Rfam family "Bacterial small subunit ribosomal RNA", at positions 338 to 795 of the family's 1533-position model. Lineage: Bacteria; Pseudomonadati; Pseudomonadota; Gammaproteobacteria; Oceanospirillales; Halomonadaceae. The record is from RNAcentral.